AUGAAUGCCACCCUUAUUUUGCCUGUGCUGAAGCAGGACCAGAUUUGGAAAGACCAAACGAAAUUUGAAGACAUUUUUGAUGUUGAUCAUUUCAUUGACUAUCUGAAGGAUGAUGUGCGAAUUGUUCGUGACAUACCUGAGUGGUUUACUGACAAAUCAGAAUUGUUCUCAAGCAUAAGACGGACAGUGAAAAAUAUUCCAAAAUAUGCACCUGCUCAAUUCUAUAUGGAUAAUGUUCUACCUCGAAUUAAGGAGAAGAAGAUAAUGGCCCUAAAGCCCUUUGUUGAUCGGCUUGGGUAUGAUAAUGUUCCUCCAGAAAUCAACAGGCUAAGGUGCAGGGUGAAUUAUCAUGCUCUGAAAUUUCUUCCUGAGAUAGAGCAGAUGGCUGAUUUAUUGGUAUCAAGGAUGAGGAACCGUACAGGAAGUUCAAAUCCGUAUAUGGCUCUUCAUCUUAGAUUUGAGAAAGGGAUGGUGGGUCUAUCAUUCUGUGAUUUUGUGGGAACUAGAGAGGAGAAAGCUAGAAUGGCUGAAUACAGAAAGAAAGAAUGGCCUAGACGGUAUAAGAAUGGUUCCCAUCUAUGGCAACUGGCUUUGCAAAAGCGGAAGGAAGGACGGUGCCCUCUUGAACCUGGGGAAGUGGCAGUGAUUCUUCGAGCAAUGGGUUAUCCUAAGGAAACUCAGAUUUAUGUUGCUUCUGGCCAGGUUUAUGGUGGGCAAAAUCGGAUGGCUCCAUUGAGGAACAUGUUCCCAAAUCUGGUAACAAAGGAGGAGCUGACUACCAAGGAAGAGUUGGAUGGUUUCAGAAAGCAUGUAACAAGCUUGGCAGCCCUUGACUUCUUGGUUUGCCUCAAGUCUGAUGUUUUUGUGAUGACCCAUGGAGGCAACUUUGCUAAAUUGAUAAUCGGGGCACGACGGUACAUGGGUCACCGUCAAAAAUCCAUAAAACCAGACAAGGGGCUAAUGUCUAAAUCUUUUGGAGAUCCUUACAUGGGCUGGGCAACUUUUGUAGAAGAUGUGAUUGUUACCCAUCAAACACGAACUGGGUUACCUGAAGAGACCUUCCCUAACUAUGACCUUUGGGAAAACCCUCUGACUCCUUGCAUGUGUAAAGCUUGACCACAUGUAUUUCUAGCUAGAAUUUUCACUAAUUUUAUUCAAGGAUCAUGUCUAUAUAGAAGCUGCAUGUCAUUGUUUGAGAAACUGAUUCUUGUAUCUAUAAGGAAGAAAUUCAGAGUUCAGACUGGCUGAUGGAUUUGGGUGAGGAACAUGAUAUGCUAUAACAGGUAACGUGGCUUGCUAGAGUUUUAUUUUGGCAAGGUUUUGUCGUGUUACCAUUUGUAGUAACAUUCUCUUUGCUGUGAUUGAGGUGGCUUGUGUUCUGGUGGUGGCUUG
RNAcentral lists this unclassified non-coding RNA (1392 nucleotides) under Hevea brasiliensis (rubber tree). Lineage: Eukaryota; Viridiplantae; Streptophyta; Magnoliopsida; Malpighiales; Euphorbiaceae. The record is from RNAcentral.